CCCGCUCAGACAACUCAAAGGAAUUGACGGGGGCCCGCACAAGCGGAGGAGCAUGUGGUUAAUUCGAUGAUACGCGAGGAACCUUACCUGGGCUCGAACGUAAGAUGACUGUAGGUGAAGGCUUACAUCUCUUCGGAGCAUUUUACGAGGUGCUGCAUGGUUGUCGUCAGCUCGUGCCGUGAGGUGUCGGGUUAAGUCCCAUAACGAGCGCAACCCCUACCUUUAGUUGCCAUCAGGUUAAGCUGGGGACUCUAAAGGAACUGCCUACGCAAGUAGUGAGGAAGGCGGGGAUGACGUCAAAUCAGCACGGCCCUUACGUCCAGGGCUACACACGUGCUACAAUGGCCGAUACAGAGGGCAGCUACCUGGUGACAGGAUGCAAAUCUCCAAAGUCGGUCUCAGUUCGGAUCGGAGUCUGCAACCCGACUCCGUGAAGUUGGAUUCGCUAGUAAUCGCGCAUCAGCCAUGGCGCGGUGAAUACGUUCCCGGGCCUU
This 494-nucleotide ribosomal RNA is filed under the name uncultured Sphingobacteriales bacterium. RNAcentral's name for it is "bacterial SSU rRNA". It matches the Rfam family "Bacterial small subunit ribosomal RNA", at positions 903 to 1382 of the family's 1533-position model. Lineage: Bacteria; Pseudomonadati; Bacteroidota; Sphingobacteriia; Sphingobacteriales. The record is from RNAcentral.